UGAGGUGGCACAGGGCUUUGCAGCCUGGCAGUGGCACUGCUGGGCAGCUCCAGCUCGAAGGUGAUGCACUCAGGUGCUGCCACAUUCACCUGGACCCUGCCAGCCAGGCAGGAGGUCCAUGAACAGCAACAAAAUCACUAAAUGACCAUGUCUAAAACUGCACGUUCAAGCAGCUGGGGGAGGACAUCUGCUCACCUGAAGAUUUUCCUGCCCAUUUGCUGGAGCUGACAAUGCUCUUCAGCUCCUCCCUGGCAUGCUCAAGGUUGCAUCCCAAGCAUCCAGACACUGCCUGUGAGAUUUGGUGCAAAAGCUUCAGAAGCAGAGACCCAGGAGCAGUGUCGGGUUGGCUUCGGGGAACGCAAUUCUCAUUCCUUUGAAAAUUCUCGUUCUGCCGGUUGGGAGUUUUGUUCAGCAUUUCCCUUCCCAGUUGGCAUCGUGGGGCUGAACUUUCUCAAGGUGUUGAGUGUGUGGAAAGAAGAAAAAAGAAAGGCAGAUUUCAUCUAGCUUGGAUUUACCCGGGGAGUGAUUCUCUUCCAGAGAUCCUAAUCUGAAACCGCUUCUUCCAGCUCCCUCCUGUAGUAGUUUACAACUCCUGACGUAUGUACACAGGGAUGGCUUGUGAAUCUGGGAGCACCAAUGGGGCUGGCCAAGGGCUCAGGGAAGGGAUGGAUUGGCAUUUUGGCUCAUGAGUUUAAGAAUCAGGUUUAUUCCAGCUGUUUCUAUGCCCCAGCCCUGUG
Molecule: long non-coding RNA, 737 nt
Organism: Chiroxiphia lanceolata (lance-tailed manakin)
Lineage: Eukaryota; Metazoa; Chordata; Aves; Passeriformes; Pipridae
Exons: 3
Source: RefSeq, a predicted model, not a curated record